CAGCCGCCGCGGGAAUACGAAGGGUGCAAGCGUUACCCGGAACUACUGGGCGUAAAGCGUGCGUAGGUGGUGGUUUAAGUCCGUUGUGAAAGCCCUGGGCUCAACCUGGGAAUUGCAGUGGAUACUGGGUCACUAGAGUGUGGUAGAGGAUAGUGGAAUUUCCGGUGUAGCAGUGAAAUGCGUAGAGAUCGGAAGGAACAUCUGUGGCGAAGGCGACUAUCUGGGCCAACACUGACACUGAGGCACGAAAGCGUGGGGAGCAAACAGGAUUAGAUACCCCAGUAGUCCCUGUCUCUUAUAC
This 301-nucleotide ribosomal RNA is filed under the name uncultured bacterium. RNAcentral's name for it is "partial 16S ribosomal RNA". It matches the Rfam family "Bacterial small subunit ribosomal RNA", at positions 509 to 807 of the family's 1533-position model. The record is from RNAcentral.